AACGAACGCUGGCGGCAUGCCUAACACAUGCAAGUCGAACGAAGGCCCGAUUUCGGUUGGGUCCUUAGUGGCGCACGGGUGCGUAACGCGUGGGAAUCUGCCCCUCGGUUCGGAAUAACAGUUAGAAAUGACUGCUAAUACCGGAUGAUGACGUAAGUCCAAAGAUUUAUCGCCGAGGGAUGAGCCCGCGUAGGAUUAGCUAGUUGGUGUGGUAAGAGCGCACCAAGGCGACGACCCUUAGCUGGUCUGAGAGGAUGAUCAGCCACACUGGGACUGAGACACGGCCCAGACUCCUACGGGAGGCAGCAGUGGGGAAUAUUGGACAAUGGGCGAAAGCCUGAUCCAGCAAUGCCGCGUGAGUGAUGAAGGCCUUAGGGUUGUAAAGCUCUUUUACCCGGGAUGGUAAUGACAGUACCGGGAGAAUAAGCUCCGGCUAACUCCGUGCCAGCAGCCGCGGUAA
This 460-nucleotide ribosomal RNA is filed under the name uncultured bacterium. RNAcentral's name for it is "partial 16S ribosomal RNA". It matches the Rfam family "Bacterial small subunit ribosomal RNA", at positions 29 to 523 of the family's 1533-position model. The record is from RNAcentral.